RNAcentral lists this long non-coding RNA (7226 nucleotides) under Lactuca sativa (garden lettuce). Its description in RNAcentral is "long non-coding RNA (LSAT_LNC008847)". Lineage: Eukaryota; Viridiplantae; Streptophyta; Magnoliopsida; Asterales; Asteraceae. The record is from RNAcentral.
UUGUUAUUCCACUCGACGAGAUCGAGAUCAACGAGAGCCUCAACUUUGUGGAAGAACCAGUAGAAAUCAUGGACCGAGAGGUCAAACAAACAAAACAAAGUCGCAUACCCAUCGUGAAGGUUCGCUGGAACGCCAAGCGGGGACCUGAAUUCACAUGGGAACGCGAAGAUCAGAUGAAACAAAAGUACCCUCAUCUCUUUCAUGUUCACUAGUAUCUUUACUACUUUAAAUUUCGGGACGAAAUUCCCUCUAACGGGGGGAUGAUGUGACAACCCGAUAUUUCAACUCUUUGUAAUGACCUAAAAGGUCAAGUAUUGUAACCACUUUUGAGUUAAUAAAAUUAACUUUGAUAAUAAAAUGUCCAAAAAGUUUCUAUUUAAAUUCCUUCUAUGUUUAAAUGUCAUUAAACCAUGAUCGUACGUAAAAAGAACGCCCAAAUCCGACUUCGUAUAUUGAAGUUAUGAUUUUUCCAAGUUCAGCUUAGCAACAGACAGCUAAAAACUCGAAUCGGAGAUCGAGCGACUUUUGGCCGGAAUGACCUAAACGAGAAUCGAAGGUCUCGACAAUGGUAUUUCAGCGGUAAAAAGUCUGGCAAAAACCGACGUCAGAUAAAGAAGUUAUGAAUUUUUAAAGAAAUUCCUUAAUCACGUCAUUUUAAUAAAUAAAUAAUAAAAAUAACUUCGGAAUUUGCCGACGGAAUCUAAACGAAAGUUGUAGAGCGUAGUCUCACCUACACGUUGAUAUAAAGACCAUCAAAAACGGAGUUCGUAUGAAGAAGAUAUGAUUUUUUGAAGUUUAUUAAAUAAAUUAUAUAUUUAUUUAAUUCAAAAAUCCGGUAAUAUCCGAAGAGGAGUCAGCGUCCUCAUCCAAGGUACGCGCCGCGUACCCCCGUACACCCUGCGUACCCGAGGGCCUUGGCCUCGGUUCGUCCACGUCUCCCUAUGUGAAGCUACCGACCCGCCCAUCCGACCCGCCGUCCCAUCCGACCCGCCGUCCCAUCCGAAGUCGAGGCAGUCGAGGACUCGGUCAUGCAUGACGUACAAGUACGCGCUACGUACUAGCGUACGCCCCGUGUAGCGAGGCUUCUUAGACCCCCUAUAAAUAGCAUGCGAAGGCUUCCGAAAAACUUGCUAAUUUCUCUCCUUUCUCUCACGAUCUUGCCUCGUUUUCCGUGUCCGUUCAAACCCGAAGCUCUGGUCUUUUUGCUCAAGACCCGAGGGUCGAUUUUACUCCCGAGAUUCCCGAGAAUCCCGAGAAAAAUCCGUUUCCCGAGACGAAACUCUGCCCGGUUUUCCAUCUCGCUAUCUUCAAACUUUCAAGUGAGUUCAUACCCCUUAAUUUACCUUUUAAAUGUUCUAUAAAUUCUUUUAUAUGCUUUCAAGGGGGGGUUACAAGUAAAACACACGAGUAUUAUCGUGUGUUACAUAAAGAACUAUUUUAUAUGCUUUUAUAUAUCCAAAUCACAUGCGAUUUACAAACUUUAUAAGGAACUUUCAUAUAUAUAACAUAUGUUAAAAUAGCAUUCUAUCUUUUGAAAUAUAAAUUUGUUGUAAUGCAUGUAUAAACUAAACUUUUCUUAGAUUAUUCUUGUCUAUCUUAGACUCUACACCAAAAAUCUAUGCUUUCAUAAACAAGUGAUUCCUUUUCUAGGUAUUUCUAAACAAACAAGACACACUUUUAGAAAACUAUAAUAGGUAUAGUUUUACGAACAAAUUUCUAACUCUUAUGUACUAGAAACAUGAAUUUCAAGAAGUCACUUUCAUAUACAAAAACAAACGAAACAUUUUAACAAGUAGAUCUGUUUUUAUACACCGGUUUUUGUGAGACACUAACUUCACGUACGUUCGAGUACACAUUUCAAGUCCUGUAUUAUAUACCAGAAUCCCUUGGAGGGGGAGCAUGGUGUUUGUGUAUAGAUCUAUACGGGCUUGACAACCCGCGCCCUGACUGUUAGCUGCAGUCCACCGUUUGGGGUGACAAACGUCAUAACAUUCCAACGCCUGAAGAACGUUGUGUAUAGGCAUUCCGAGUCAAUAGUAUGGUUAUAAAACUCACAAGGGGUAUUAAAAAUGCAUUGAUUUACAAGGUUUUCAAACUCAUUGGUUAUUUUACACUUACAUACAUUUUAGAAACAAACAUUGGUCUUGAGUGAAGGCUACUUUUAUACUAGUAGAAAAUAUAGGAUUUUCUAAACACAAACAAACAAAGACAAAACAUUUCAUUUCAUACAAACAUUGUCANAGUCAAUAGUAUGGUUAUAAAACUCACAUGGGGUAUUAAAAAUGCAUUGAUUUACAAGGUUUUCAAACACAUUGGUUAUUUUACACUUACAUACAUUUUAGAAACAAACAUUGGUCUUGAGUGAAGGCUACUUUUAUACUAGUAGAAAAUAUAGGAUUUUCUAAAUACAAACAAACAAAGACAAAACAUUUCAUUUCAUACAAACAUUGUCAUUUAAAUACUUAUGAAACUCACCAGCUUAAAUGCUGAUCUACUCUUUCAAAAUUUAUUUGUAUGUCCCAGGAAAUCAGUAAAUUUCAGGUAUUCAUUUUGCUUUUGAUGAAGGGAUGCUGCGGCGCCAGUUUAAUCUCGUAUUUUGACAUCAUAUUGUAAUUGGUUUUGAACAUGUAACUUUUGACAAAUGUAAACUUUCAAUUAUAUAUAUGAUGGUUGUCUUGCUUUCUUUACUAUGUAUUCAUUUGUUACCUUACCACAUGAAGUCAUCCGCCCCCGAACGUUUCCGCCGUUCAGGUUUGGGGGUGUGACAAAUUGGUAUCAGAGCNAAGUCUGUUACAACAAAACGCCUUAAAUUACAUUAACGUUGUUCCAGAGUAGGCUCUCCUACAGCUGUGAUCCUGAGAAUCUUCCUGUCUGUGCCAGAGUUCUGCGCUAUCGGGCAAUCCUUCUUGAGGUGUCCAAUUUCACCGCAUUGGUGACAUAUCUGGACAGCACCAACAUUGGUGGUGGAAGUGAAUUGUUGAGUAGAAGUUAUGGGGACACGGUUGCUUUUGUUCAUCAUCUCUUUUGGGAAAUCUCUGUAAUAGUGUCCUGCCUCACCACAACUAUAGCAAACUAGGCUUGCUCCAGUGGUGGAUGUAGUUCUACAGAAACAAGCAAUGUGCCCCAUCUUGUUGCAAUUAUUGCAUUGCCGGACUCGGAAAAUUCCUUUGUCGUGAUAGUUGUGCCGGUCGCACUUCGGGAGUGUUCCUUCAUAUGGUCUGCUCGGUAUUGGGAUGGCAGCGGUUUCCACUUCUUGUUGUUGUUGCAUAUCAAUUCUCUAAAAUCAUUUGCAUUCCACUUUGGCUUGAUGUUUUCUUUUCUUGAACUCUGAGUUGUUGUUUUGGGCGGUGGCGACGGUUACUACUUGUUGAUUUCUCGGAUCGUUAACACGAUCGGGAUUGUCAACUCCUUUUUCAGUCUUGGUUGCAUUGACAGUGCUGCGAUUUGCAAGGACAGCCAUCACAGCAGCUGUAACGGUAGCUUGAAAAGUAGCAGCGUCCAUAGGAAGAGCAGGGGUUUCAUUGCUCGGCUGAUUGUUUCCGGAUGAAGACAUGAGUCUGUAACACGAAAGAUUAGGAUUUUGUGAGCGAUUCUGGUUGACCUUAGAUGUAGUUCGAUUGUUCUAGAAGAGAGUAAGGGUAUGUUCUCGAAAGUUUGACUACAUCCCUAUGAUGCAUUCCUAGUACUGAGUGGAAGUAAGUUCGUAGAAUGGUCUCAAGACGUUUGUCGUUCAAGCCGAGGUAUCUUUGGUUGGUGAAUAACAUGAUCCAACCACUGAAAGAGACUUGGAAAUGUCUCCGGAGCUAACUUGCUAUAGUCCAAUGACUUGACUAAAGCAUGUUUCAGAUAAACUCUAAUGAAAGUAUCAUAAGAGUACUUGAAUAAAGAACAACACAGGAGUUAGCCGACUGUUAAUAUCUUUGAUAUUCAUGACGUACAAGUUCGGGAAAAUGACCUUGUACAAAGGCCUUACAUCAUAUCCAGAGAAGAUAGUUCUUGACAGCAUAAAGACCUAACUAAAGUACUUACAGUACAAGAUAGUUUCAUAGAAAAUGCCACAUAGAGCAUAGACAGAAAAACGAUUCCUUUUAACAAGGCAAAUAAAGUAAGGCAUCUACUACUGGCGACAGUCAUCCCUCUGGUGAACUCUCAAUUCAACCAGUUGACGUUGCACAUCAAGUAGGUGUCUUUCGUACACCCUCUGGCGUACUCGGAGCUGUAUGACUUCAGAUCGUGAUUCAGCCAGUGCUUGAAGCAGGGUUUCAUGGUUUCUCUCAGAUCUCUCAUGUUCAUCUUCUAGACGAAUGGUACGGAGGGUAUGAAUUCUCACAUCGGUGACAACUUCUGUGAUCUGAUGUAGGGUUGUCCUGCCUUGAAUCUCAUUUCGGGCCACUCUGCGGACCAAGAUUGGCAAGAUUCUGUCUGCUGAGCCCCCAUUGCUCAGGUCAUAGAAUCUUCGGUCACCAUUAAAUGGCAUGGGCUGAUCUUGUCCUUGGCUCCAUGUUUCCAAGCAUUCCACCCACUCAGCCAUCCGGCCUUGAAAAGUCGGACGAGGGUUAGGAAUUGGAAAGGGAGUUUCUUGGGGUAGGUUCUCAACCUCGGGUUCGGAGUUAGCAUCGUCCGAAAGGUCUUCAUCAUGGUGAUCAUUCAAAGGGAUAGGAUGAUCAUUCUCGGGUUCUUCUUCAAACCAUCCAGCAAUGACUUCGUUCGAAAGAUACUGGUUGCCGUGGGGAUGGAGUCCAGCCAUGUUAUAUAUGUGAGAAUUGGGGUAAGAAAACAAUUAUUAGACGAACUAUCUAGAUAAUUAUUUACAAAAUCUUCAUUAGCUACAUCGCUAUUUGUGAAGUGCAUACCAGUUAUAUGUAAUCGAAACAGGAUAGGCCUUCGAAUAAGUGACCUUAACUCCAAAUUCUCACAGAAUAAGGGUAAAGUAAAAUUUUCACAGAUUCUAAGUCUAUAACAUCCUAAUUACAUAUAGCCUUAUUGUAUCCACUUAGCAACUAUCAACUUAGUAAUGAAGAUUAUGUUUUAGUUUAAUGUUAUGUUCUACUGUUUCAUUGUGGUAGGGUUGGUAAGAUUUCAGACUUGUUGCAACCACACAAUUAAACUUAGGCAUAUGCUAGUCAACCCUCGGAUAAUAUAGGUGAUUAGGCUAUAUCUUCCCAGUUUUAACCAUAUGUCUCUAAGCCCACCUGUGUUGCCCAGCAAUCAUAAUUCUUUUGUACUGUCCUAGUGACACUGAUUUUAGUGUGAAUGUAGGCACGUAUACUUUAUUAAAUAUUUUAUUAUUUAAAGUAUAAACACUUAGUCAGAGUAUUUUUAAUCCCAUUGUAUUUAUAGUUUGUAUAUCUUUUAUGGGUUGAUAUACUUAAUUCACUAAAAACAAUGCUCUGAUACCAAUCUGUCACACCCCAAAACCAUGAACGGCGGAAACGUUCUGGGGCUAAGGACGUCAUGUACAGUAUCACAACGAUGAAAAGUAGUAAACAAGGAACAACAUCAUCCAUUGCAUUAAUAAUAUAAUUUUAAUACAAGUGCGUUCUGUCUAUAUAUAAUAAACACUAAAGUAUAAAUCAAAAUGAAAGAUGAGUCUUGAACGAGCACCAUCUUCUCUAAACCUUGCAUCGGUACUUGUCUAUGGUUGACCUGAGGAUACAAGUUAUUUUGAAAGAGAGUAUCAGCUUUAAAGCUGGUGAGAUCAUAAGUAUUUUAGUGUCUUAAUUUGUAUGUAAGUAUUUGUAUGUAUAUGAACUGUAGGUGUUGAAAAUGUAUAUGAACUGUAGGUGUUGAAAAUGUAUAUGAACUGUAAGUAUGAAAAUGUUUUGAAUGAUCCUAGGAAGCCCUAUGUUUCCUACUAAUCGUAUCCUUCUACCAAGGCAUCUAGUGUUUGUGUGUGGGUCUCUUGUAAGAGUGUGUAUUUUCCCAAAUCUGACUAUCAAUAACCAAAAAUAUAGUUUCUACAUUACCGUGCGUCGUGUGAAUGUUCACGAAGUGAGUGUAAUGGGAAAAUGAAACAGUACUAUGGUGUAGUAUCUAACUACAACCGUACUAACUACCUUAAAUCUAAUGUAAUUUAAAGUAACAUGUAAUCGUCCUGUAUCCUGCUACCGACUAUAGUAAAACGACGAUGUAAGACGCCGUAAGAAAUGAUAUUUGGAACCCGUAGACUUGCAAGUCCCACUGUAGCGAGCAGCAAGGUGUACGAUAGUCAAUCCAGUAUAGAUCUAUACGCAAACUCAUAUGCUCCCCAAUUAAGGAGAUUCUGGACACAAAAACGGUCAUGGAAGGUAGUGCCAUGACCGGUUUAAUGGCUCACCUAACUAAAUGUAAUGUAUAUGUAAUGUAUGUGCUAGCUGUAUUGUGUGUUCUUCCUCUGUCUAGCCUGUAUGUUUGUUUCUCAUCACUAAGUAUUAUGUUUGUUGACUCAUGUAUGAACUGACUCUUUGUGUGAUUUAUUGUUCUAGUGUUAGUAUUAGUAUCUUCCUAAAGUACCCAUAUGGUAGCUUACUAGUAAUAUAACUGGUACGUAUGAACAUGGAAGUAUACCCUUGCUACCCAAGGGUAUUGAAUGAAAUGGGAGAAACUUUAUGCCUAUAUAUGUACACAUGAUAUAUAACUAAUAUUUAAAUGACCUUCGGACGGGUACCCGAUAUCCCACCAGACCACAUCUCAAGCGCGAAAAGGAAAUAGGGUGAAUAGUCUUCCUAAGUCUUUUAAACAUUUCUUAUAUCACUAUACAUAUAUAGGCAUGCAAUUGAUAAUAUAAAAGCAUAAAAUAAGUUUUGUAAAACCUUUGAACAUAAUUAUUAUCUAAGAAAAGAUUGACUUGAUGUCAAUCUAUAAAACGGGUUGAAAGCAUGUGCUUGAUAAAACAGUUUAAGUAUAAAUAAACAUUGGGUUGAAACAUAAUUGUAAAUGAGUUUGAAAUGAAACAUAAAGUGUAAAAUGAAUAGUUUAAUAAGGAUUUUUAAACCUAUAAAACGUUUAUGAAAAUCAUGUGAAGAAAACUGUUUGGUAAAACGGCUAAUGAGUAGCAAAUCAAUUAAAUGCUGCUUAUUAAUCACAUGUUAUUGAUAUAAUAACUAGCAUGAUUUGUGACAACCCGAUAUUUCAACUCUUUGUAAUGACCUAAAAAGUCAAGUAUUGUAGCUACUUUUGAAAUAAUGAAAUUAACUUCGAAGAUGAAAUAUGUAAAAAUCUUUAUAAGAAUAUCUAUUAUGUUAGAC